RNAcentral lists this long non-coding RNA (3739 nucleotides) under Canis lupus familiaris (dog). RNAcentral describes it as "lncRNA (ENSCAFG00000055480.1)". Lineage: Eukaryota; Metazoa; Chordata; Mammalia; Carnivora; Canidae. The record is from RNAcentral.
GAUUUUAUUUAUUUAUUCACAAGAGACACACAGAGAGAGGCAGAGACACAGGCAGAGGGAGAAGCAGGCUCCAUGCAGGGAACCCAACAUGGGACUCGAUCCUGGGUCUCCAGGAUCACGCCCUGGGCUGAAGGCGGCGCUAAACCGCUGAGCCACCAGGGCUGCCCUAAUAUUGGAUUUUAUGAAAUUUUCAUUUACAAAGUGCAUGAUGAUAUUCUAUUAUGCUGUUUUCCAGAAGUUUUGUCUUUCACAUUUAGUUAGGCCAUUCACUUGAUAUUAUUGAUUGUCUCUUUUUCAUGAAUGAUGCCAUUACCUAAAUUACUGGCUUCCAGCUUUAUUCUUCGGACUUAAUUUGCUAUUACUUUUCUAAUUCCUUGAAAUAGAUGUGUUUACUGAUUUUGAGCUUUUUUUAAAGUAAACUCUGUGCCCAAUGUGAGGCUCAAGCUCACAACCCCAAGAUUGAGAGUUGCAUGCUCUCCCGUCACCCAGACCCCAACCUUUCUCCUUUUCCAGUAGAUGCAUUGAAGGCUGUAAAUUUCUUCUGAGCAUAGCUUUAGCUGUUUCCCACAGUUUCAAUAGCAUGGUAUUUUUAUUUUCAUUAAGUGCAAAAUAUUUUCAAGUUUCCACUAUGAUUUCUACUUUUAACCCGUGGACUCUUUAAAAUAUAUAUACUUAAGAGAGAGCAUGCCCGUGAGCAUGGUGGAGAUGGGUGGAGGUGGGGACAAGGAGAGGGAGAAUUUUAAGGUUCCAUCACGCUCAGUGUGGAGCCCAACAGGAGGCUCAAUCACACAACCCUAAAAUCAUGACCUGAGCUGAAAUUGAGUUAGAUGUGUAACUGAGUCAGCCAGGUGCUCCUAGAAUAUAUUGUUAAUAGAAUGUUUUAAAGUGGGCAGUCGGGGGGCAGCCCCGGUGGCUCAGCGAUUUGGCGCCGCCUGUAGCCUGGGGUGUGAUCCUGGAGACCCGGGAUUGAGUCCCACGUUGGGCUCCCUGCAUGAAGCCUGCUUCUGUCUCUGCCCCCCCCCCCUCUCUCUCUCUGUCUCUAUGAAUAAAUAAAAUCUUAAAAAAAAAGAAUGUCUUAAAGUUAUGAUUGUGUUUUGGUUUAUAUGAAAAAUUGCAGAAAAAAACUUAAAACUCUAGAUUAGGAGUUUACAGCCCGGAGCUAGUGUCUGUUUUGUGGCUUUUAUCUCUUUAAAUGUUUUUUUUUUUUUUUUAAUCAGAAGAAAUAUUUGUGACAUGUGACUAUAGUACGAAAUUCGCAUUUCAGUGUUUGUACAUGUUUUACAAAAACAGCCAUGCCUCCUUCAUUUUUCUUGUCCAAGGCUGCUUUUGCAAUAUGGCAAAGCUGUGUUGUGUCAAAGACCAUCUGGCCAACAAAGCCUAAAAUAUUUACCGUCUUGUCCUUCGGAGAAGGAGUUUGUUCACCCCUGCCAUGGAUAGUGUUUUCUUCCAGAAAGGAUUUACUUUUGCUUCUAGCAGGCAGUGAGGGUGCUUGGAGUCUCAAAUUGUAUGAAAACAGAUUGAGUGGGCAUCAGUGACCACAAGGACUAUAUUUCCACUUCUGUCUUAUUGUUACCCUUGGGUUGCCCUUUGGGGUCCCAGUCCACACACGGAUGUUUACCAGGGCUCCCCUUCCUUGAAAGGCCCUGGAUUCUGUUUUUUUGUCACAUCUUCCCCAAGAGGUUUUCACACUGUUUCUAGUUUCUCAGCUGUGCAGCUAUAUUUUCCACAUAUUGAAGAUACCUCAUGGGGAAAACUGACCCUCAAAUACUAGGCUUACUUCUCAGAGUUGUCUUCCUCCAAAUCGUAGCCUUGGCCCCUUAAUUUCACAUGCCUUAUUAGCUUCCCAGUGCCUUCAAGCAGAUUUCUUUUUAAAUAGUUUGAACCCCUUUCCUAGCUCUUUUCAGGGGGAGCAUUGGUUUGCAUUACCUAGUCUGACAAUAUGGAAAUACCUUAUAAACCACAAAUACACUUUGUUUUUGAAGAGAAUUCCUAGAUCUUACAGUGAAACUGCCAAAUGAGUUGUGCUCAUCUUGAACCUGUACAUGUUUGGGCAGCUGUCAAGUGGAGCCACCCAAUUUUCUCUUCCCCACUGUGUCCUUACCAGGGUUGGGGAUGGUGAUUAACGUGAUCCGUUUGUCUUUUCACACCAAAGACAGAAGCCUGAGAGUAAGCCUGGUCUCCUGCCCCUUUUAACCCCACUCCAAGUCCCUUAGUUCUCAAGUGGUCCUGCUGCUACUGCUGUUUCCACUCUUAUCUCCUUGCCCCCAGUCCAUUCUCCACACUGCUGCCAAAGUGCUAAAAUGGGAAUUUGAUCAUGUCAUUUCCCUGCUUAAAAAGUUCAGUGACUCUUUAAGUAGGCUCCACGGCCAACAUGGGGCCUGAACUUACAAACCUGAGGUUGAGUCACAUGCUCUACCCAUGGAGCCACCAGGUACCCCCCUUCAGCAGCUCUUUAUAUAGGUUGUUGUAUGCAUCUCAUGCUUGAAGCUUAUCUAACACAUAUUUUCUCCGUAGGGCCCAUCAUUGCCUUCUUGCAUUUAGGCACCAUAGACAUCACUUCAGCACUGUGCUGGGGGUGGGGGGGGGUUGCCAUUUUAAACCCUGAAACCACCAACAAAAAGUUGAAGGCCUCUUUUUUAGAGUAUGACAGCUGAUACAAGGGGGCAGAUCCUGCCUGGCCUUGCUUGACCUCAGGUAGUAUAUCAGGCAACUUUUUUCACCACUCUGUGCAUACUCAAGAACGAACACAAAGGGGUUAGAAAUAAAAUCUUAAAAGAGGAGCCCAGUUUGCAAAUACGCAAUCUACCAGUGAGGGUCCGCUUCAUCAUGGGUUGAUGAAAAAUUGGUAAUUCAAGAGAAGCAGAAAACUAGAAGGAAUUCAUGGCAUGAUAGAUUUUGUAAAAUUGUCUUUUUAAAGACUUGAAUGUAAAGCAGCCAAAAAUUUUCAUCCAUUACAUUCUGUGCCCCAACAUGCUUGUCCCCUCAGUACUCAAUACCCUUUGUAUGUUCAAGAUUCCACCAAACUAGAGGACUUGCCUUUCCCCAAAUAUCCUCCUGGUUCUGUCUCUGGGUUGUGAGUGAACGUUUUUUUCCCCACUUACACUUGAUUCAGUAAACAUUAAACCCUGCCUGUGUCCUAGGCACCGUUCUGGGCUCCAGGCACAUGGCAGUGACAAAUAAGAACCACUGCCCUCGAGAGCUUCCCUUACUUCACAGCCUUGCACUUUGUAGAUGUUUGUAAUUUUGCCUCCACACAAGCCAUAUCAUGUAUUGUACACAAAGUAAAAGAGAAAGGAAAUAGUUGAGAUUUAAACACAAACAGUUGAAACCAGUUUUAAUGCUCAGUUCCCAUUCUGGGCUAACCUCUCAUUCUCCAUGGUUUUCCUCAUAGACUCAAAAUAUAAAAUAAGAUGGCUAAAAAAGAAGAAACCUCUAGGUGAGGCUUUAAGGGAGAAAAACAUAAAAAAUGAAAAAGGACUUUUUUUUGGGGGGGGGGGUAGGGGGUUGACAUGGUAAGAGGAGGGCUGCACUUAGAGCUUUCCAGGAGAGGGGGCUGGUAAGAGAUUCCUGAGGGCAGAAUGCUUGCUCAGUCCUCAGUUGUUUUUAUGUAAACUUUUUCCAUCUUCCCAGACCUUCAAAUGUGACAGCUUUUUUUUUUUUUUCCCGAAACAAAAAGUUUUAUUUUGAAAAUACUCUUUAAAGGUAAAUUUGGCUUCCAUUUUCCCUAAGGUGCAUCCAA